Molecule: non-coding RNA, 950 nt
Organism: Macaca mulatta (Rhesus monkey)
Lineage: Eukaryota; Metazoa; Chordata; Mammalia; Primates; Cercopithecidae
Source: RefSeq, a predicted model, not a curated record
GCCCAGGGAGGUCACUCUGUGGGGUUACAUGCCCCACCAGGUGGGACGCCAGCCCCGGAGCUGUUCCCUCAGCUCAUUCCCGAGCACUUGAGAACCACACUGUGCAAAGUUUGGAGAGUCCGGGAUCAUAACCUCCACUUUGCCACCAGCUCCCUGAGUGACCUUGGGGAAACCAGCUGCAGCACUCGGCCUCAGUUUUCCUCCUGCACAGGGGAGGAAGAUGGGACAGCGUCUACAGGGUCUGGAGCAAUCAUGGCUCACCGCAGCUUUGACCUCCUGGGCUCAAGCGAUCCUCCACCCUCAGCCUCCUGAGCAGCUAGGACUAUAGUGCCAUUGCUGCAGGAACUACGGCCUUCAGGUUGACUCCAGAUACAGCCUCGCCAUGCCUCUCCCUACCCUUGACUGCAGCAGCACUGAAAUAGCAGCAUGAAUCACUCUGGGACGUCACGUGAUGCACAGGCCAGACGCGGCUGUGGUUGGUCCUCCUGUGUUCCAGGGACCUGGGAGGAGGGCCCUGGCCAGCCAGAGUGGCUGCCUCCCUGUCCUCCUCUGAGUCUACCAAGAGGCUUGGAGAAAACUGAGUUGGUGGAAGUUAUAAGAGCUAACACUUCUGGGUAUUCAGAGGUGGCUUUACUGUAACACUAAAGCAGCUUAAACAUCGGGGACCCCAUUCGUGCUCCUUCUAAAGCCACACACUUCAUUUUUUGUGUGUUUCUUCUCUCAAAGCGAGCUCUCAAAUUGUCAUAAGCUUCAGGUCUGACAAGACUCAAGUCCAACCCGGGAGGAUUAUAUUGUUCACUCUGCAUAGUAACCUUGGGAAGUCAAGGGCACUUCAUCCUCCCCACCUUACAGUCAAGGACACUUAGAGCACAAAAAAGACUUCCUUAGAUUUCUUUAAAAUUCUGGGCCAGGGCCAGGCGUGGUGGCUCACACCUGUGUAAUCCCAGCAC